This 466-nucleotide ribosomal RNA is filed under the name uncultured bacterium. RNAcentral describes it as "partial 16S ribosomal RNA". It matches the Rfam family "Bacterial small subunit ribosomal RNA", at positions 28 to 507 of the family's 1533-position model. The record is from RNAcentral.
GAUGAACGCUGGCGGCGUGCUUAACACAUGCAAGUCGAACGAUGAGGCCCAGCUUGCUGGGUGGAUUAGUGGCGAACGGGUGAGUAACACGUGAGUAACCUGCCCUUAACUCUGGGAUAAGCCUGGGAAACUGGGUCUAAUACCGGAUAGGAGCGUCCACCGCAUGGUGGGUGGUGGAGAGAUUUAUCGGUUUUGGAUGGACUCGCGGCCUAUCAGCUUGUUGGUGAGGUAAUGGCUCACCAAGGCGACGACGGGUAGCCGGCCUGAGAGGGUGACCGGCCACACUGGGACUGAGACACGGCCCAGACUCCUACGGGAGGCAGCAGUGGGGAAUAUUGCACAAUGGGCGCAAGCCUGAUGCAGCGACGCCGCGUGAGGGAUGACGGCCUUCGGGUUGUAAACCUCUUUCAGUAGGGAAGAAGCGAAAGUGACGGUACCUGCAGAAGAAGCACCGGCUAACUACGUG